CCUACGGGUGGCUGCAGUGGGGAAUAUUGGACAAUGGGCGAAAGCCUGAUCCAGCCAUGCCGCGUGUGUGAAGAAGGCCUUCGGGUUGUAAAGCACUUUCAGUGGGGAAGAAAGCCUUGGGGCUAAUACCCUCGAGGAAGGACAUCACCCACAGAAGAAGCACCGGCUAACUUCGUGCCAGCAGCCGCGGUAAUACGGAGGGUGCGAGCGUUAAUCGGAAUUACUGGGCGUAAAGCGCGCGUAGGCGGUCUGAUAAGCCGGUUGUGAAAGCCCCGGGCUCAACCUGGGAACGGCAUCCGGAACUGUCAGGCUAGAGUGCAGGAGAGGAAGGUAGAAUUCCCGGUGUAGCGGUGAAAUGCGUAGAGAUCGGGAGGAAUACCAGUGGCGAAGGCGGCCUUCUGGACUGACACUGACGCUGAGGUGCGAAAGCGUGGGUAGCAAACAGGAUUAGAUACCCCAGUAGUC
RNAcentral lists this ribosomal RNA (465 nucleotides) under Vreelandella stevensii. Its description in RNAcentral is "partial 16S ribosomal RNA". It matches the Rfam family "Bacterial small subunit ribosomal RNA", at positions 338 to 795 of the family's 1533-position model. Lineage: Bacteria; Pseudomonadati; Pseudomonadota; Gammaproteobacteria; Oceanospirillales; Halomonadaceae. The record is from RNAcentral.